UAGAUCCUUUACCAUAGUGUGGGUUGAUGAUCACCACUGUUGAUAGAUGUGGUAAUGGAUUCUUCCUAAUGUCGAGAAGCCGCAUCGCACGUCUGGCCUCUACAGGAUGUCCAUGUUGGAGCAGCUUCCUCAGGUUGUGGAUGUCAAGAAACAACAAGGAUCUGGUCAUGGAGGUCCUUGAAGGCCAGCAACCAAGCAAAAUAAAAAUAGCCUUUAGGAUUUCAGCGGUCUUGGAAAUCCUGUCGGUAGGAUUUCUUUCUACGAUUUGAAUCUCUUCUCCACCA
Molecule: long non-coding RNA, 284 nt
Filed under: Elaeis guineensis (African oil palm)
Lineage: Eukaryota; Viridiplantae; Streptophyta; Magnoliopsida; Arecales; Arecaceae
Description: long non-coding RNA (EGUI_LNC065375)
Source: RNAcentral